UACGUAGGGUUCAAGCGUUAUCCGGAAUCACUGGGCGUAAAGCGUACGUAGGCGGAUGUUCACGUGUAAUGCGAAAUCUUGUGGCUCAACCAUAUAGACUGUAUUACAUACGGGACGUCUAGAGGACGGCAGAGGCAAGUGGAAUUUGUAGUGUAGCAGUGAAAUGCGUAGAUAUUACAAGGAACACCAAUGGCGAAGGCAGCUUGCUGGGCCGUAUCUGACGCUGAGGUACGAAAGCGUGGGGAGCGAACAGG
RNAcentral lists this ribosomal RNA (254 nucleotides) under uncultured bacterium. RNAcentral describes it as "partial 16S ribosomal RNA". It matches the Rfam family "Bacterial small subunit ribosomal RNA", at positions 524 to 776 of the family's 1533-position model. The record is from RNAcentral.